Molecule: long non-coding RNA, 2008 nt
Filed under: Capra hircus (goat)
Lineage: Eukaryota; Metazoa; Chordata; Mammalia; Artiodactyla; Bovidae
Description: lncRNA (ENSCHIG00000001720.1)
Source: RNAcentral
CAACAAAAUGCAUCGUACUGGUCAGGACAUAGAAGCAUGCCAGGAUAUGAUGACUGCCAACAAUUAUUCUAGAGAAAUUUACUCCGAUGGGGCAGCUGAGAAGAGACCUAGGAAGCCAGAGUUUAUACCCAGGCAAAGAAGUUGCAGUUGUAUAAUACCAAAGAUUCCCACAACAUGUAAUGCAAUUCUGUAGCCCUCCUCCCAUCACAGCCAAAAUUGGGGCAUCCAUACUAUCAAAAGGUGACCAUUGUCAGAGUGAAAAGGAGGAUAAGCCAAGUUUUCAUCACUCCAAAGAAAAUCUCCACAACCACCAGCUGCUUAGGAGAAGAGCACUUGGAAAUAUGCGCGUUGCUUGUGCUCAUCUUCCAUUGGUCAGAACUAGUCACAUGGCUGCAUCUACCUGCAAGGGAUGCUGGGAAACAUAGUCUACGGUAUGCUCAAGGAGAGAGGAAACACAGAUUUUGCUAAGCAGGGUGCUGGGGAAACUAGCCAUCAAUUCAUUCCAUGAUCUCCUGUAUCUCAGGACUCGCUCCGUGCAGCCCGGACUCCUCUUGCACAGGAAUUCUUAGCCUUUGAUAAGAGGUGAAACAUCCAGUCCCUACCCUGAGAGUGCUCCUGUUCAGCCUUUAACUGCAGCCCAGACAAACCACUGGGAUCACUCUGCCUGUCACAGCACAGAAAAUUCCAACCUUUAUACACCAAUGACGUUGCACCCAGCAGCGGGGGUGCAUGAAUCCAUGCUGGCUGAAAGGAGGUCUGAUUGCCCAGCAAGUCCAUUUGUUCCUUGCUUUAAAGCGAUCAAUCAUUUACUCAGAUUUCAGUGAAAUGGCCUGAAACGGGUAAGGAAGAAAGAGCCCAGAGCUUGGGCAUGGGAGAUUAGAGGUGAGUCUCAGCAGAGGCACUGAGCAGGCAGCCACAUCAAGAAGACCAAGCCUCAGGGCUCCAGACUUCUCACCAGGAGUCGAGGGGUUGCUGCGCAAUUGAGGCUCAGUGGGAUCUGUUGCUGCAGCUUCUGCUAAACUUCAGCUGCAGUCUCUUCACUGACUCAGUAUUUAGAGCCUUUUCAGUUCAAGGUCAUUCCUGGAGUCCCUCCUUCAGCUCCUGAAGCACCAGCCCCCUCUAGUUUAUUUCGAACAACUCUUCUUCUGUAAUCACCAAUAAUUAUAUACCUCCAAAGAUUUCACCCAUUCAGGUCCUCUGACCCAGCAUUCUACGUUUAGGAAUCCAUCCUAAUAAAAUAGUCCUGAAUCUGGAAAUAGCCUUAUACACAAAAAUGCUCUGAAGAAUUGCCACUUUCAUACUGUGCUUCUGGAGAAGACUCUUGAGAGUACCUUGGACAGCAAGGAGAUCAAACCAGUCAAUCCUCAAGGAAAUCAACCCUGAAUAUUGGAAGGGCUGAUGCUGAAGCUGAAGCUCCAAUACUUUGACCACUUGAUGUGAAGAGCCAACUCAUUGGAAAAAGCCCUGCUGCUGGGAAAGAUUGAGGGCAGGAAGAGAAAGGGGAGACAGAGGAUGAGAUGGUUGGAUGACAUCACUGAUUCAAUGGACAUAAAUUUAAGCAAACUCCGGGAGACAGUAAAGGACAGAGAAGCCUGGCAUACUGCAGUCCAAGGGGUUGCAAAGAGUUGGACACGACUUAGCAACUGAACAAUGACAAAGAUGUUCACCAGCAGUAACAGAACAGUGGCAACAACCUAUUGUAAGGAAGGUUGGAAUAUCAUCCUUUCUUGGAUGCUUGGAAUAGCAUCACCAGCCCGACAAUAAGACAGUUGCUUAAAUUAGAGGGUGAAAUAUCAAGACAUUGAAAUACAUGUUUAUCAUGAAUUUAUUAUCAAGUGUCCAGAUGAUUAAUGUCGAGAGAGGAGUAAGAAACAAUAGUAGCAUAAGUACAGUUCUGUAAAAAAAAGUCAAUAAUUAACAGAACCAUGAUUAUAUAAGAUACUAUCAUAGGGUGAAACUGGGUGAAAAGUACACAGAAACUAUACCAUUUUUGAAACUUUUGCUGAGU